GCCGGUUGCUCAGCCCGGCCGGAGUUCCCAGGGGCAAAGCCUCGCGUAAGCCUCAUAAGCGGGUCCCGGGUUCAGGCAUUGUCGCCUAGAAUUACCGGCCGGGGCACCA
RNAcentral lists this transfer RNA (109 nucleotides) under Pyrobaculum aerophilum str. IM2. RNAcentral's name for it is "tRNA-Met (CAT) (tRNA-Met-CAT-2-1)". Lineage: Archaea; Thermoproteati; Thermoproteota; Thermoprotei; Thermoproteales; Thermoproteaceae. The record is from RNAcentral.